GGACUCUCCGUCCAAUAACAAACAUUUCUACAACGACGAAGGCUUUUCCCGGAUUAACGACUUGGAAGAUCGAUUGGAUUGUGACACCCGGAUUUAUUGUUCUGUGACUAGAGUCCCCAGUAUCUCAAAAGGAAGUAGAAAAAAUAAGGAAAGCCGUGAGCAAAGCGUCCAUACUGAAAUUGGCAGUUCCUGAGACACAAGUACGACCGACGGUCCCGGACUGCGGAGACGAAAUCGUUGACGAUGAAAAGGAUAAAUCAAUUGAAGAAGGAAAUACCGGUGAGAAAGAAACCGAUCGAAAAGACGGUGAAAGGAAGGAAGAAGAAAGUUUCGAUGGUCAAUCCAAGGACGAAGCAAUAACUGGGCAAACGUGUAACAAAAAAUGCAAUAAAGAAUUCAUCGACGAGACAGUCCCGGACUGCGGAGACGAAAUCGUUGACGAUGAAAAGGAUAGAUCAAUUGAAGAUAGAAAUACCGGUGAGAAAGAAACCGAUCGAAAAGACGGUGAAAGGAAGGAAGGAGAAAGUUUCGAUCGUCAAUCCGAGGACAUGGCGAUAACUGCGCAAACGAGUGGCAAACGAUACGAUGAAGAAAGCAUGGAUGAGUUCGAAUAAAAAUUGACUAUUGGAUAGAAUUCUAGCACGGAUAACCUUAAUUUAUGAAUAUUGAAACGUAACGCCCGCGGAGCGGCCCGAACCCGCUCGAACUCUCGAAUACUACGCGUACACAAAACAUCGCGGAGCGAAGGACAGGCGUGUGUCCCAACCGGCGGCCAUCUUGGUUACUGGCACAAAGGCCCGAGCGAGCCGGCGGGCAACGCUCUGAACAGCGCCACUUGACGAAAAAUCAAACUAAAUUAUAUUUUUCUUAUUCUAAUUGUUUUCAAACUUUUUAUUUAUCAAUACGAGCGUAAUUAGGCUCAAAAUUUCGGGAAAAAUAGCCGCUAUCGAAGAAAAUAAAAGAAAAGGUUAAAUCUUCUGGAAAAUUUGUACAAUUUCAAAUAGAGCGAAAUGCUUGAUUACAGCGCAUGCGCGGGGCUAAGCGUUCAUGGGCUAUAGGAGCCCGAACGUGACUUUUUCCGAUUUUCCGAAUAAAAUUAAGAUUAAUGAUAUUAAAUAAAACAAUGAAGCCAAAACAUGCAACUAAUUAAAUAAUGGCAAUUUUCAUUAGAAUUUUAUUAUUUUAAAGUCACGCUGAGCUAAAAAACAUCAGAAGCGGAAUUCGGCGCGUCGGGCAAAAUAGCGAUCAGCCAAUAACAAGGCGCGAAAUAUGGCAUCCAGCCAAUAGAGAAGCCCGUUACAGAAGAAUGCGCAGAACACAUCCGAAAUAAGGAAAUUCGGCGUUUGAGAGAUUUUAGAGUGGGGAACGGGGUAUAAGAGUCGGUGCACGGCUUAUUCGGGAGGCAGUUCACCCUACCUCUAGAAUCAACUCGGAUCUCCUAGAAGAACUAGA
Venturia canescens is the source of this 1452-nucleotide long non-coding RNA. RefSeq lists it as uncharacterized. The transcript has 4 exons. Lineage: Eukaryota; Metazoa; Arthropoda; Insecta; Hymenoptera; Ichneumonidae. The record is from RefSeq and is a predicted model, not a curated record.